GGUGGGAGAUGGCUGCCAACACCUCUAACUCCACGAAUAGGAAUACUUCGUGGAGCUGGUCGUGUCCAAGAACCCCUUACACGUCCAGUUGUGCGCCCAGGCCAAUAAUCAGUACGACUAGCAUGUUUUCCUUUGCCUCUUUGCAAUGGUCUGGAUAAUCUAGCCCUUACUUUAGCCUAGUAAACAAGGGAAUUGAAGAAAAUAAAUGUUUCGGAAAUAGGAACCUCUGAAGUACUGUAGAAAGUCGAUACCAUUAAUUCCUCAAAACAAAUAUAUACCUUGUUGUCCCCUUCACCAAGCUCUGAGUUGUUGAUGCUCUUUGCACAGGAAACCGCAGCAUCAUGUGUGUCAAAUGUAACAAAGCCAAAAUCCUUUCUCUUCGCCGAAGGCAUAUUUCGAGCAAGCUCAAUUUUCUCAAUCUCCCCAUACUUCUUUAGAAGUCCUCGAACAAAUUCUUCAUCCCAUGAGGCAGGGAGACUAUCAACAAAAACAGUCUUGACCUGUUUGUGUGACAAAAAAACAAUUGCAGAACAUUGAACAUUACAACAAAAGCAAUAUGAAAAACAAUAUUUGAAUAUCAACUACAUGUAAUGAAAGAUGGACGUAAAUACAUGUAGAAAAAUAACAAAUACCCACCCCCAGUCAACUGGACAUUUGAUGACCCAAAAAAAUACAGCAUGAAAAGAUAAGAGAAACCAUACAAAACAAAUACCCCCCCUUCCCCACCUUUAUGGUAACUAUCUUGUAAAGUAAUGAAAAGCUCCAUAUUCUAUAUCCAGGAAACAUAUUCUCAUAAUCUUGAAAGAUUAAAACAAAGCUGGUGGGCACCAAUAAUUUAAUUCCAAUAGGUUAAUGUGCCAGAAAAAUUGGAUACAGAACACUUCAAUUGAAGAAUUUCAAUUAAUUAUCUCAAUGCUAACCUGUGCCAUAAUUUCAUCACCAGGAUCUAUAAAAGAAUCAGCAAACGACACUUUGGCAGGCCUAUCAACUCCAAAUACAACAUCCCUUUUUUGAAGACGCUUGAAGGCAUCCAUAGCAUCUGAACGAGAUGAAAAUUCCAAAAAGGCAAAUCCACGAUUUGAUCCUUCAUUAUUACUAUCCUCUACCAGUGUCAGAUCCUCAACAUUAUCAACUCCAUAAUGUUUCAACUUCUCCUUCAGCUGGAUCCAUAUACAUUUAUCAUAAUGUCAGGAUAUUCAUAACUCCUCGUUACAAAAAAAAACUCACUGAUCAAUAGAAUUUGAUAAAUCCAUUAACUUACAGCAUCCUUUUUCCAUGUCUUGCAUAUGUUACCAAGAAAAAGGGUGUCGCUAUCUUGACUUGGAGUCACACCACAUUGUUUACCAUUAAUCUGGAAUUUCAUUAAUUGAGAUAAAAUAAACUUUUGGUAUGUCCAAAUCUUACCGUUGCCUUAAGUAAACAUGAAAGGAUUUAAAAAAAAAGCUUAAAUACCACAGGAUUCUUCAGCUCUGACACAGCUCGUUUUGCCUCUUCCACAGUAGCAAAACGUAAGAAUGCAAAACCUUUGUUCUUCUUUGUCUGCGGAUUCAUCAUUAGCCUGACUUCAGUGACUUCACCAACUGCACUGAAAACUUUCUUCAAAUCCUCCUCUUUUACGUCCUUGUCCAAGCCACCAACAAACACUUCAAACUCCUUGCGUUUACGCCUCUCUUUAACAACUUCAUGAUGCUCAUCCUCAUCGGCAUCAACCAUGCCAGCGUGCUCAUGGUCUUCACCACCUUGCUGAUCAUCAUCCUCCCCCUCAAGAUCCUCCUGAGCAUCCUCAACAUCCUCUUCAACCAUAUCACCUUCCUCAUCCCCCACAUUGUCCUCAGGCUCCCCCUCCCCAUCUACCACUUCCUGAACAUCCUCCUGUUCAAUUUCUUUUUCAUCAUACUCAAACCCUCCAUCCUCAUCAGGUUCUGAUUCGGGAUCGUUAUCUUCGAGAUCCAAGCGCUCGUCCUUCCCAUAUUCUUCAUCCUUUACUUCUUCUUCUUCUGAAACGAGAUGUAGAUUGAAGAUCUAUCCCGGUCAACAAACUCACUCGAGAAAACACACCGGGUAUAUUAAAAAUGAAGAACCAAAGCGUAGUACUGAAACUUGGCAUAGAAAAACUUACAGCUUCUCGUCAAGGUACGAAAACAUAAUACAUACAAAACUCAGACUAUUAGCUAAGGAGAUGAUAGCAAUUUAAGACAAUGAAAUUCCCAAAAAAACAUAAUUAACUUGUAUCACACAUAUAAAUAAGAACCCCAACAAUAAUUACUAACCCUAACGGCGACGUGCCCGAAUUUAGAGGACAGUACUUACUUUUAGGAGGAACAGAUUGUUUCGAAUCCGAUCUGACUUCGCGCGAAGAUUCGACCUCCCCAACGUCUACAGC
Molecule: long non-coding RNA, 2383 nt
Filed under: Cucumis sativus (cucumber)
Lineage: Eukaryota; Viridiplantae; Streptophyta; Magnoliopsida; Cucurbitales; Cucurbitaceae
Description: long non-coding RNA (CSAT_LNC000924)
Source: RNAcentral